UUGGUUCCGCAGCAAAUAUAGGAAAAUCAGAACAAUACAGAGAAGAUUAGCAUGGCCCCUUUGCAAGCAUGAUAUACAAUACAAAUUUAUAAAGCAUUAUAUUUUU
Sarcophilus harrisii (Tasmanian devil) is the source of this 106-nucleotide small nuclear RNA. Lineage: Eukaryota; Metazoa; Chordata; Mammalia; Dasyuromorphia; Dasyuridae. The record is from Ensembl.